UUAACGCACUGCCCAAAUAGCUUUUAAAAUCUUUUACAUUUCCAUUAUUUUCCAUUCAAUUUUUAUGUGCCUCAGCAGAGUCCUGUUUAGACUUUUAAACAGCUUGUUACACGGAAACCCCACUAAAACAAGAAAGCCCCUCUUUCUGCAUUUAUUAUUGUCAAUCACCUGCUAAAUGGUUAAGGAAAAAAAAAACCAAUUUAUUUGUAGAAUUAGGAUUUGUUUUUGCAAAUUAUUUUUUCACUUGACCCUAUCAUAAAAAAUAUAUAUAUAUACAGUUAAGCAGGCUUUCAAAUGUUUAGAGGGGUGAAGGCAAAAGAAAAAUCAGCAAAGAAUAAAAAUCCUUGAAAAUUUAUGCAGGAAUGAAUAUCCUCAGAAAUGUGUUAUCAGCCAAACUCUUUUUUGAUAACAAACAAAAGGAUUUUGCACAUACACGCUGUUACGGAUUCCUGUGAUUAGCUGUUAUAUAAAUCUAAGAUUGUUUUUCUGUUCCUAUUGUCUCCGAGCUUUUUGUGACUCUGUAAGUUGUAGACACUGAUAGAAAUGUGAGGAGUCUUACCAGGCGCAAGUGAAUUUUGGCUGGUGGAGAUGCAAUAGAUUUUCCUGCCCCACCCCACUCCCACAGAAAACACCCAUUUUGCAGUAAAUUCAUUUCAGCAUUUCCAGUGGAGCCAAACCUCCACCUUACUUUAUCUAUGCAUCCCUGAGAAAAAUCAUCUCCUACUAGCAAAGACUAAUGGAUAGGCUGAGAGACAGAAACUUGACCAGAAGAUUACAUCAGCACAACGGUGACGAAACGCUCCAGGGGUAAGGGACAGAUUGUUGGAAAGAGCUUGGUCCAAAAGUCUGGAAAUUUGGCCUCUAUUUUAGGCUUUGCCACAGACUGGCUCUGCCAGAAGUAUGCCGUGCAACCUCUAAAGCAGUAUCCUAAAAGGGAUACAGCAUGAUAUCGCUUUAGGACGCAGCAUGAUAGUCCCCUCUCCUUUUCCAUGUCUGCUAGCAGGAAGGCUUUUAUGCUGGCUGGAGCUACAGCAGCCAUUUUUUUCCUCUAGGUGAUGUUGGAAAUGGAAGGUAAAAGCAAAAUAGAGUGUAGAUUCCACCUCUGGACUUACAUGUGGAAAAUAAAUGAAUUUGAGAGACAAAUAAAUUUCUAUCUUUCUUAAACUAUUAUUAUUUUAAUCUUUCUGUUGCUGAGAGCUGACUUGAAUCCUAAUAAAGAAAUAUAAUCAUACUCUGACUGUAACUUCUGGAUUUGGAAUCAGGAGAAUUUGGUUCUAAUCCCAUUGCAGUGUUUUUUGAGGCCAAUUACUUCACCUUGCAAAUAAAGAAAUAUAAUCAUGCUCUGACUGUAACUUCUGGAUUUGGAAUCAGGAGAAUUUGGUUCUAAUCCCAUUGCAGUGUUUUUUGAGGCCAAUUACUUCGCCUUGCAGUCUUUCAUUUUCAGUAAUAGAAUACCUUAUUUUUCUGAAAAGGUUACUGUGCUGAUUAAUUGAGAUCAGCAAUGUUCAGGCAUUUUGAAAGAAAGAAAAGAAAGAACACAUUUUAUAAAUACGAGGUGCCACCUCCCCCAGUGGCACUCAGAUCUCUGAAAGGGGAAAACCAACUGCAUCUUUUGACCACACAUUCACCCAUGAUUUUAUUGACAAAGGAAAAAAAGGAAUCAUCUAGAAACAUUUUAGGUGGAAUCUAUGAAAAAGCUUUGCCUGUACAUAACUCUUGUCCUUCUGACUUAAAAGCAAACAAAAUAAUCCAAAAUGCAAACAGCAGGAAGGCCAGUGUCUUAUACAGAGAGAAGAAAAAUCCUUACAUGGAACAAUUCUAUCUACUCACUGGGUUGGAAAAACAGAGAAACAAAUGAUUAGAGGUUUCUUCACUCUCCCAGGAAAAGUAGGCAGGUCCUCUGAGAAGGAAUCAUCCACUCCUUCUGACUUGCCCAUGUAUGUCUGCAAGCCUCAAAGUGCCUGAUGGCACAGUGACUGUGGUGGGCUGUUUCUUUCUGAGAAAAUCUGGCACGUGUCACAAACGUGGGAUGUCAAAGGCAGAUAUCUCCUGGUGGCAUGUGGCUGCCUGUGUCCCUCUGCUUCAGGCAGAAUGUGAGUCUGAAUUUGACUCCAGGGGGUUGUCUGUGCCACCAGGGGCAGAGGGACAGACUGCCUCCCAGGCUCCUCCAGCAAAACAUGCUGGAAGUUUCCCAAGUGGCAUCAUUAGUAUAAAUUCACUGUGUCGUAUGACUCUGGCUCUGAUCACAGACUCUUUCCCUUCUGACUUUGACCCAUAAAGACUUUGGCAGGAUUAUUAGAGAAAGUCUAGUCAAUUAGAGAGGUAGAACUCAUCAUCUGAAAGCUACAGGAUAACCGGGUUAUGACUCUAAGCUCCGAGUGGGUGGAGGUCUCAUCACACACAAGUCAUUAAUAUAUUGUAGUAAGUGGAAGUAAGAAUGUCCUCGCAUGUGUUUCCUGGUGAAGUGAGAACCCAUGUCUGAUGUAGUUGCUUAACCUGGAGUCCUAGAAAAUUCCUAUGCUUACCAGCUAUUAACUGUGGAAUCUCAGACAGGUUAUAUGGCUUUUCUGUGCCUUGAUACUCCUAUCUGAAAAAAAAUGGGGAUAUUAAUAAUGCCAAUUAAUAACUUAAAUGACAUUAGAACCAUAUCUGGGUUCACCUAUUAGGUCCUACUAAGUAUGAAGCAUAAGGACCACUAACAUUAUUAGCAGAAAGCAACCAGCGACAACUCCCAGCCAUCUGAGUAACUUAGGCCUUCCUGUGAAAAUCCACAGGGUUUAUGGGAAUACCUUACCUGCAGGGCCUGAUAAAAGUGUAUCCUGGAGAUCAAGUAUGGCUACGGUCCUUCCAUUUCAUACACUUCUGAUAAGACUGUGCAAUUCAUCAUCUGGACUAGGAUACUUGGCCGUGCAAGGGGUUGCUUUAAUAAUCACAGCAGGGCAAGUGAUGUCACCUGGGCAUGAACACUGGUUUGUUCUCAAAGUCAGCGUCGUUUUGCCAAAAAAAAAUUGACAAAACCAAAUUUUUCUAUGUACCCAAAGCUUUAAAAAUUCAAAAUCCUGACUUAGUUGGAUGGAUAUAAGUUUUACUUUAAUGUAUUUGGAACAACUGGUUAUGUAAGCUUGAAUCAUCAGGACUGUAAAUCUGACAAUUAUAUUCCAUGCACGCCAUCGAUAAAGGUUCUAAUUUAAGAAACAACAAAUCCAACUCUCUCAAAAAAGAACAAAUUGAUCUGCAUCAUAAUUUAACUAACA
This is a long non-coding RNA of Cercocebus atys (sooty mangabey), 3254 nucleotides long. RefSeq lists it as uncharacterized. The transcript is spliced from 2 exons. The record is from RefSeq and is a predicted model, not a curated record. Lineage: Eukaryota; Metazoa; Chordata; Mammalia; Primates; Cercopithecidae.